RNAcentral lists this ribosomal RNA (468 nucleotides) under uncultured bacterium. Its description in RNAcentral is "partial 16S ribosomal RNA". It matches the Rfam family "Bacterial small subunit ribosomal RNA", at positions 28 to 507 of the family's 1533-position model. The record is from RNAcentral.
GACGAACGCUGGCGGCGUGCUUAACACAUGCAAGUCGAACGGAAAGGCCUUGCUUUUGUGGGGUGCUCGAGUGGCGAACGGGUGAGUAACACGUGAGUAACCUGCCCUUGACUUUGGGAUAACUUCAGGAAACUGGGGCUAAUACCGGAUAGGAGCUCCUGCUGCAUGGUGGGGGUUGGAAAGUUUCGGCGGUUGAGGAUGGACUCGCGGCUUAUCAGCUUGUUGGUGGGGUAGUGGCUUACCAAGGCUUUGACGGGUAGCCGGCCUGAGAGGGUGACCGGCCACAUUGGGACUGAGAUACGGCCCAGACUCCUACGGGAGGCAGCAGUGGGGAAUAUUGCACAAUGGGCGGAAGCCUGAUGCAGCAACGCCGCGUGCGGGAUGACGGCCUUCGGGUUGUAAACCGCUUUCGCCUGUGACGAAGCGUGAGUGACGGUAAUGGGUAAAGAAGCACCGGCUAACUACGUG